UUGGACAAUGUCUUCCCGAUCCUGAAGCGGCGAAAGCCAAGAAGGAAACGGAAACGCCGAUCUCGCUUCUUUUCCGGUCUGGUGGCUUUAGCACGAGCAAAACACCCGAUCCCAUCCCGAACUCGGCCGUUAAGUGCCGUCGCGCCAAUGGUACUGCGUCAAAAGACGUGGGAGAGUAGGUCACCGCCAGAC
Molecule: ribosomal RNA, 192 nt
Filed under: Paracoccus versutus
Lineage: Bacteria; Pseudomonadati; Pseudomonadota; Alphaproteobacteria; Rhodobacterales; Paracoccaceae
Source: RNAcentral